Molecule: long non-coding RNA, 1453 nt
Filed under: Marmota monax (woodchuck)
Lineage: Eukaryota; Metazoa; Chordata; Mammalia; Rodentia; Sciuridae
Source: RNAcentral
GUUUGGAUAAGCUGCAUUGUCACAGCACUGAGGCCCGGAAGAGCCAGAAAGAGGCCUCGGAGACCAUGGAAUCCAGUUCUUCCCUUGGGGAGGCCGGGGACCCUCCUCCAACUCUCUCAGCACAUUGCAUGGUUGCAUCCACCCACAUGCUCUGUGAGCUGCCUGAUCGCGGGUUAUCUUAUUUCCUCAGAGUCUGGGACUGUGCCUGGCACAAAGAAAAUAUUCAAAACCUGAUUGUUGAAUGAAUGAAUCAUCGGUAAAGCUCACACAUUAAUCCUGGGGCAGAGCUAAGAGCAGAGGCCAAAUAGCUUCCUUCCUUGUACCCCACUCUGCCCAUUUGUUCCCUGCUCAGAAACAUUAGGAGAUCCUCUGCCCACCCUCCUGAGGCCCUCACAGUAGGGUAGUUAAACAACCAUGCUCCACUUGGCCCCUCAGUAUGGCUCUGGCUUGAUGGGGAACACACCACCUGAAUCAGACCCUGGGUUUGAUGCUCAUCUCUGUCAUUUUCCAGCUGGUUGCCUGGGGGAAAACUGCUUAACUUCUCUGAGUGUCGAUUUCCACAUGGACCCUGCCAAUCUCAUGGAUUGUUGUCAAGUUCACACUUGGCCGUGAAUGUGAAAGCCGUUUGGAAACAGCCAUGCUGGGUGGGCAGAAGCCGCUGGAAGCUCCGGCAGUCAAGGUGGAGGGCAGGUGGUCAGGGCUGAGACUCCCUCACUGCAGCUGUGCCCUGGCUUACUUCUGGCGAGAAGGUGGGUGGGGUCCAGGUGUCAUCCCGUUGUGGGGCGUGGAGGCAAUGGGAACUUAGAGGUGACUGGGGAAAUCAGGAGAGAGAGAGAAGGGAAUCCCAGCAGGCGGGUGGCCCUGUUGACAGCGCGGAGCACAGAGCUGGCCCCUUGGGUGGCAGUGAACCACCCCUGAGGCCCGUCAUUCCCUCGCCCUCUGCAGGGAGGGUACAAGCUGUUGGGGACGCUGGCAAGUUCUGCUCCUAGGCAACGAAAUCACACACUGAAGAAUCAGGGUACCUGGUGCAUGCGCAAGUGUGUUAAGAAAUGUAAGCGGGCUUACCUGAUGUUAAAAUAAAAGGCUAAUUUAGUCAAACUGGUGAAAACAAUCAAGCGAUCUGCUGUUUGAGUUUUCACAGACAAACAAGCGACCGCCUUCUGAACACUCAGCUCUUCAGAGAAGAAAGCUGUUCCGCAUCCUGGGAGCCAGGCAUGGCACCAAGAGCAGAGUGGAUUCCAGGAUGGUGGGUAUCCAGGGUGCAGGAGGGAGGCGCCCGUUGACAGCCCACCCCCAGGAUGAUGGCAGAUUGACAGGGGGAUGCCAAGGUGCCUUUGGCAGCCGCCAUCAGGUGUUAUGUGAAGUUGGCAACUGGGAGUAAGGGGGUGAGGGUUUCAUUCAUCCCCACGGCCUGGACUCAGAAGAGCAAUGUUCACAGGAGGCGCGCGCUUGC